This 253-nucleotide ribosomal RNA is filed under the name uncultured bacterium. Its description in RNAcentral is "partial 16S ribosomal RNA". It matches the Rfam family "Bacterial small subunit ribosomal RNA", at positions 524 to 776 of the family's 1533-position model. The record is from RNAcentral.
UACGGGGGGGGCAAGCGUUGUUCGGAAUUACUGGGCGUAAAGGGCUCGUAGGCGGCCAACUAAGUCGGACGUGAAAUCCCCAGGCUCAACCUGGGAACUGCAUCCGAUACUGGUCGGCUAGAGUACGGGAGAGGGAAGCGGAAUUCCUGGUGUAGCGGUGAAAUGCGCAGAUAUCAGGAGGAACACCGGUGGCGAAGGCGGGUCUCUGGGCCGAUACUGACGCUGAGGAGCGAAAGCGUGGGGAGCGAACAGG